RNAcentral lists this ribosomal RNA (559 nucleotides) under uncultured bacterium. Its description in RNAcentral is "bacterial SSU rRNA". It matches the Rfam family "Bacterial small subunit ribosomal RNA", at positions 338 to 915 of the family's 1533-position model. The record is from RNAcentral.
CCUACGGGAGGCAGCAGUGGGGAAUCUUGCGCAAUGGGCGAAAGCCUGACGCAGCCAUGCCGCGUGAAUGAUGAAGGUCUUAGGAUUGUAAAAUUCUUUCACCGAGGACGAUAAUGACGGUACUCGGAGAAGAAGCCCCGGCUAACUUCGUGCCAGCAGCCGCGGUAAUACGAAGGGGGCUAGCGUUGCUCGGAAUUACUGGGCGUAAAGGGAGCGUAGGCGGAUAGUUUAGUCAGAGGUGAAAGCCCAGGGCUCAACCUUGGAAUUGCCUUUGAUACUGGCUAUCUUGAGUACGGAAGAGGUAUGUGGAACUCCGAGUGUAGAGGUGAAAUUCGUAGAUAUUCGGAAGAACACCAGUGGCGAAGGCGACAUACUGGUCCGUUACUGACGCUGAGGCUCGAAAGCGUGGGGAGCAAACAGGAUUAGAUACCCUGGUAGUCCACGCUGUAAACGAUGAGUGCUAGUUGUCGGCAUGCAUGCAUGUCGGUGACGCAGCUAACGCAUUAAGCACUCCGCCUGGGGAGUACGGUCGCAAGAUUAAAACUCAAAUGAAUUGAGG